This 298-nucleotide ribosomal RNA is filed under the name Taraire rufolineata. RNAcentral's name for it is "partial 12S ribosomal RNA". The record is from RNAcentral. Lineage: Eukaryota; Metazoa; Arthropoda; Arachnida; Araneae; Tetragnathidae.
UAAAAACCUAUAUAGUUUGGCGGCAUUUCAUCUUAUUAGAGGAAUAUGUUUAUUAAUCGACACCACACGAUAUAUUUCACUUAUUCAAAAAUCUUAUAUACCUCCGUCAUAGAAUAAUUUAAAAACUUAUAUUCAAAAUAAUAUUAUAUUAUGAUAGGUAAAGGUGUAGAAAAUUAAUAAGAUUAAAUGUAUUACAUUAAAUAAUAUUUAAGGAAAUUUAUGAUAAAUCAUACUAAAAUCAGGAUUUAAUAGUAAUAUUAGUAAUACUAUUAUAAUAUGAAUUAGAAAACAAAUGUGC